RNAcentral lists this ribosomal RNA (253 nucleotides) under uncultured prokaryote. Its description in RNAcentral is "partial 16S ribosomal RNA". It matches the Rfam family "Bacterial small subunit ribosomal RNA", at positions 524 to 776 of the family's 1533-position model. The record is from RNAcentral.
CACGUAAGGGGCAAGCGUUGUUCGGAAUUAUUGGGCGUAAAGGGCGUGUAGGCGGUUCUGCAAGCCUGGUGUUAAAUACCACAGCUUAACUGUGGGAAAGCGCUGGGAACUGCGGGACUAGAGUUUAGGAGGGGAAGCUAGAAUUCCAGGUGUAGGGGUGAAAUCUGUAGAUAUCUGGAAGAAUACCAGUGGCGAAGGCGAGCUUCUGGCCAUAGACUGACGCUGAUGCGCGAAAGCGUGGGGAGCGAACAGG